This 1801-nucleotide small RNA is filed under the name Cryptococcus neoformans H99. Its description in RNAcentral is "Cryptococcus neoformans var. grubii H99 hypothetical RNA". Lineage: Eukaryota; Fungi; Basidiomycota; Tremellomycetes; Tremellales; Cryptococcaceae. The record is from RNAcentral.
GCUGGCUAACUUAAUAUUUGACACUUAUCCACACAGCACUAUCAACGAGACUCAACUACCACGGUAGAGUAUUACAACCUAUCUGGAAGUAGCCUGAAAGCAAACACUCAAGUGCUGCGAGAAAGGUCGCCGACAGGAAGAAUGAAGUAGCUGGUAUCCUUGGUAAGCAUCCCAGCAAGUCCUGUGUAUGCAGCUACCGCUGCAGUUACCUUUGAUCAGACAUGUGUCAGCUCUUUCGGUAAAAUAUUCCUAUCGAAUAGACUCACGAUACCGAAAGCGCCGCCAGCCUUGGUAGCGUUAGUGCUUGGUGCCAAAUAUCCCGCGGCGCUACAAAAGGUGAUGUCGAGGAAAACGAAUACAGCAAUGAGGGCGACGGACGAUCGAAGACAGGCAAGCAAGAGGAUGAAGGUGACAAGGGCCCAGGCAACAAGGUACAGACCCAAUGCGCUGUCAAGCAUGGCCGGAUCGUCAUACGAAGCGAGCACUUCAAAUUGUGGAAUGUAGAGAGCUGCAGAAAGCAGUGAGCACGCCAUUUCGUAUUUAAUGACGAAGUAUACCUACCUGCGAAAGAAAGCCAAAAGCCGCCCAGUAAGGACCCACUUACACCAAAUGUGUUACCGCACGCCCAUUCUUCGAUCCCCACGAUGAUCUGACAUAGACCUCCAUAACCUAAGGCCAUGCCAAGUAUCACGUUAUGUACCGUGACACCCCGAGCUGAGACGUUGAAGAGGGAAAGCAGAAAUGUAGUGGCUGCGAAACUUUGACAAAUGAUGUUCUAGUCAGAUCAGAUGUCCGAGGGCAAAGGAGAGACGGACCUACCUGAUCAGGCCCAAGGGGGCAGGAUUGCCAAAUUUCCUGUGGAAUACAGGGAAGGCUGGCUGACUUGUGUCCAUAGGAUGGCCACCUGGAGUUAUGAACCUUGUCAUUGGUCCACCUGUUCCGUGAUAACCAGUAGCACCAUUGGAGGGUGCGAAGGACGCGUUGUCGUUUGUCAAGUGUCGUUCUACUGCCUCAUCGUGACCGCUGGGGAGCUUCGUUUCAGACAUUGUCAGAAGAGAGUGGUUGAUGUUGCUGAGGAUGGCUGGGAGAGGAAAUUUGAGGAUGUUUGGGUCGUGCGGUGUGAUUUAUGACAAUCCAUAAACAGGUGAGUAUACCCGACCUAGCCGGGCGUUCAUAACGCCCCAUAAAAAUUUAGCAAGCACCUGACUGAGUUUCCGCUUGUUGACACUUAAUCGCCGAGCUCCGAUGAGUCCAAAAUAAUCCCACUUCCAACAUCAGCAUGGCCCAGCCUACAACAUAACCUGUAAUAGCCGAUCUCAUCAGCUACCGGCUAUUGUGUUUCGCGUCUUUAUCGGCUUGCGGUUUUCAUGUCCCACGCAGUGGCAACAACUUCCCGUUCCACUACUAAGUUCCGUUUGCCUCCGUUCCCAUUGUCCAACCUCGUAUACAGAAAUGCCGGCUCGAGAGAGCUGCUAAUGGAUAUAGCCUCCCGGCAUCGGUAAUCCCCAAUGAGCGCGUUCAGGUCAAAAGUCUGGGCGUCGGCGUCUCCUGUCGAGCGUCGUGGACUUUAGUGAUGUGGGCAGAAGUAUAGCUACUUUUUCCCGAUGUGACUUUGCCACGGUAAAACCUGCCAUGUAUGGCCGGCAAAACUUUUGAGGACCGCUUGGGUCCCAAGCAGAUAUAGACGGACAUCGCCGCCCUUAUAAAACAGUAGUACUGCAGUAGUAACUGGGUGCAUUAUUCAUCCUGUAGAGGGAAGGCCUGAUUAUGUAGUAUCAUUCGAUGAAAUGUUACGUCCUCA